Molecule: ribosomal RNA, 253 nt
Filed under: uncultured bacterium
Lineage: Bacteria
Description: partial 16S ribosomal RNA
Rfam family: Bacterial small subunit ribosomal RNA
Source: RNAcentral
UACAGAGACUGCAAGCGUUAUUCGGAUUCACUGGGCGUAAAGGGUGCGCAGGCGGCCGUAUGUGUGAGGCGUGAAAGCCCGGGGCUUAACCCCGGAAUUGCACCUCAAACUAUACGGCUAGAGCAUUGGAGAGGGUAGCAGAAUUCAUGGUGUAGCAGUGAAAUGCGUAGAUAUCCGGAAGAACACCGGUGGCGAAGGCGGCCUGCUGGGCUAUGGCUGACACUGAGGCGCGACAGCGUGGGGAGCAAACAGG